CAGCCGUAAACAAUGUGCGUUAGGUGUGUCGGUAACCACGUGUUACUGAUGCGCCGAAGAGAAAUCGUGAAACGCACCACCUGGGAAGUACGGUCGCAAGGCUGAAACUUAAAGGAAUUGGCGGGGGAGCACCACAACAGGUGGAGCCUGCGGUUUAAUUGGAUUUAACGCCGGACAUCUCACCGGAUAAGACAGCUGAAUGAUUGUCAAUCUGAAGGUUUUACAUGACUAGCUGAGAGGUGGUGCAUGGCGUCAGUGACU
Molecule: ribosomal RNA, 261 nt
Filed under: uncultured archaeon
Lineage: Archaea
Description: partial 16S ribosomal RNA
Rfam family: Archaeal small subunit ribosomal RNA
Source: RNAcentral